Molecule: ribosomal RNA, 497 nt
Filed under: uncultured bacterium
Lineage: Bacteria
Description: partial 16S ribosomal RNA
Rfam family: Bacterial small subunit ribosomal RNA
Source: RNAcentral
GAUGAACGCUGGCGGCGUGCUUAAUACAUGCAAGUCGAGCGAACAGACGAGGAGCUUGCUCCUUUGACAUUUGCGGCGCACGUGUGUGUAACACGUGGAUAACCCACCUAUCAGACUGGUAUAACUUCGGGACACCGGCUCAUACACCGUAGAAUAUAUUGAAGCGUAUGGUUCAAUAGUGAAAGACGGCUGUGCUGUCAGUUAUAGAUGGAUACGGGCCGCAUUGGGUAGUUGGUAAGGUAACGGCUUACCACGGGGACGAUGCGUAGCCGAAUUGAGAGAGUGGUCGGCCACCUUGGAACUGGGACAGCGUCAAGACUCCUGCGGGAGGCAGCAGUAGGGAACGGUCCGCAAUAGGCGAAAGCCUGACGGAGCAGCGCGGAGUGAGUGAUGACGGUCUUCGGAGCGGGAAACUCGGUUAUUAGGGAAGAACCAAUGUGUAAGUAACUAUGCACGUCUUGACGGUACCUAAUCAAAAAGCCCCGGCUAACUACGUG